RNAcentral lists this microRNA precursor (55 nucleotides) under Ornithorhynchus anatinus (platypus). RNAcentral describes it as "Oan-Mir-1421-P43_pre stem-loop". The record is from RNAcentral. Lineage: Eukaryota; Metazoa; Chordata; Mammalia; Monotremata; Ornithorhynchidae.
UAGUCACGUGAGGUGAAGUGUGAGAGUGGAACACACUGCAUCACAUGUGACCUCC